This 504-nucleotide ribosomal RNA is filed under the name uncultured bacterium. RNAcentral's name for it is "partial 16S ribosomal RNA". It matches the Rfam family "Bacterial small subunit ribosomal RNA", at positions 30 to 523 of the family's 1533-position model. The record is from RNAcentral.
AUUGAACGCUGGCGGCAGGCCUAACACAUGCAAGUCGAACGGUAGCACAGAGAGCUUGCCCUCGGGUGACGAGUGGCGGACGGGUGAGUAAUGUCUGGGAAACUGCCCGAUGGAGGGGGAUAACUACUGGAAACGGUAGCUAAUACCGCAUAACGUCGCAAGACCAAAGUGGGGGACCUUCGGGCCUCACACCAUUGGAUGUGCCCAGAUGGGAUUAGCUAGUAGGUGGGGUAAUGGCUCACCUAGGCGACGAUCCCUAGCUGGUCUGAGAGGAUGACCAGCCACACUGGAACUGAGACACGGGCCAGACUCCUACGGGAGGCAGCAGUGGGGAAUAUUGCACAAUGGGCGCAAGCCUGAUGCAGCCAUGCCGCGUGUAUGAAGAAGGCCUUCGGGUUGUAAAGUACUUUCAGCGGGGAGGAAGGCGGUGAAGUUAAUAACUUCACCGAUUGACGUUACCCGCAGAAGAAGCACCGGCUAACUCCGUGCCAGCCGCCGCGGUAA